GGCUGAUCUGAAGGUAUGAGUCGUCUCAAUUGAUUGUUCACGGUCAGCUACGGCUCCCACUCCCUGUUCUACACUGUCCCCCAUUCUCACCACUGCACUUGACUAGUCUUUU
RNAcentral lists this Y RNA (112 nucleotides) under Propithecus coquereli (Coquerel's sifaka). RNAcentral's name for it is "Y RNA (ENSPCOG00000007671.1)". It matches the Rfam family "Y RNA". From Rfam's summary of the family: Y RNAs are components of the Ro ribonucleoprotein particle (Ro RNP), in association with Ro60 and La proteins. The Y RNAs and Ro60 and La proteins are well conserved, but the function of the Ro RNP is not known. The record is from Rfam by way of RNAcentral. Lineage: Eukaryota; Metazoa; Chordata; Mammalia; Primates; Indriidae.